GGGUCAGUAGGUUGGUCGUGCCACCGGUACGUACUGGUCUCACUGAUUCCUCCUUCCUGAAGAACCGUAAUGCCAUUAAUUUGGUGUUGCGGGGAAACAGGACUGUUACUUUGAAAAAAUUAGAGUGUUUAAAGCAAGCUAACGCUUGAAUACAUAGCAUGGAAUAAUGAAAUAGGACGAUCGAUCCUAUUUUGUUGGUUUCUAGGAUUGACGUA
RNAcentral lists this ribosomal RNA (215 nucleotides) under Glomeromycotina sp. RNAcentral describes it as "partial small subunit ribosomal RNA". The stretch from base 40 to 215 matches the Rfam family "Eukaryotic small subunit ribosomal RNA", at positions 686 to 864 of the family's 1831-position model. Lineage: Eukaryota; Fungi; Glomeromycota. The record is from RNAcentral.